AAAAAUAUUAAAUUAUAUAAUUAAAUAAAAUAAUAAAUAAUUCUUGCAAUGAGGGGGCCGCAUUCUGAGCAUACUAUUACAUCAUACUAUCUUAACGAAGAGAACAAAAAAACACAUCAUAGUGAAAAGAAAAAAAAAUGGUAAUGAUAACCAUUACAUAGCGAACAUUUUCUCAAGGAAAUGGUCUUCAUCAUAUAAUAUUGCAAACCUGCUGCCCCUCGUAAAUGCGGCCAGGCUGCUUCUUAUUUACCACUGGAUUGAUUUAUAUAGUAUAAUACGUAGCCUCUCAUGACCUUCAUCGCUGUUUAUUCAUCGCAGCACUGAUACAUAAUGAACCUCUCCAUGACGCGGCCGCAUUCUGAGCAUACUAUCCUUUCUGGAAUCAGCCCUGCAGCGCCAGGGAGCACCAGCCUAUUGCAGUGAUGUUCAGUGUGAAGAUCUUUAAGUUGAUCUCUAAGUGUUGGCAUGAAACCCUUUUGCUGGAUCUGAUCUUGCCAGGUACUGUAAUUCGUCAGGCAGGUUAAAAAUGGAGCCCCUUUAGCUUUCACCAUCUCAUCUGAACCUCUAGUGAAUAUGGCCCAUCCACCUUGACUGCUAUCGAAGCUGAGCAUUGUCAUGAUCUCCUUCAUUAUGGGAUCAUUUUCUGCGGUUUUUCCUAAUUGAUUCUUCGAGCGCCACAUGCUCUCUAUCCUAACCCAGAAGUACCAGACUGAAGUCAGGUCUUGCCAGUAGUGGCUGAGUUUCUCAACAAUGAUGGCUUCAAUGUUCUUCCGUACUCUAUCCUUUGGGUUGCUCUUUCCUGCAUAAACCAUCCCAAGAGGGAUACCUGCAGCUAGCGCCACUGCUCUUGCAGUGUUGGUAAAUUUUCGAAUCCAAUCCAUGUCCUCCCCUCCAUACAAGCAUAUGUACCUUCCUUCUGUUAUCUGGUGAAGGCAAAGACAAGUCAAUAAGCACAGCUUCAAAAAUUUAGCAUCACAGUCCUGGGUAGAAAUCUAGUAUUAAUGAGCCAAAGUUCCCUACUACUCCAGUACUAAUAUAUUAAUACUAAUUAGUAAAACUAAAUGUACCCAAUUGAGAACUAUUGGAUCAAUGCCAUCCACCAAGAGCUCAAGUCUCCAACUCUCUUCCCUCCAGAGAGCUUCCUCCCUUGUAGUGGUGAAAGGGAAGGCUAGACUGCCCCAAAUCCACAUCAUAUGGAGUGCAUUUGGGCAGGCAACCCGCCCUUGUGGAUCUAGUACCACAAGAAUAGGCUUCUUCCCAAAAUGCCACUCUUCUUUGAUGAACUUGAUCACUGCCCUGUCGAUCAAGGAAGGGUGGUAUAUUGAGUACCAAGUCAUACCAGCCUGCAGAUUCUCGAAUUUCUUUUGCAUAUUAUCAUUCCGCAGUAUAUUUGGGUCAAGAAUUGGGAGCCACACAAUCUCAUACUGACUUUCCUGCUUCGUGGGAUGGAGCCGCGACUCGUUGUAUAUCUGUUCAAGAAUGGCAAUCUCUUCUUGCAAUAUGUCAAGAUCUGAUAUGAGCAGCAGCACAUUUUUUCUCCGCAGGACGUCAAUGUUAACCUGUUUUUUUCAAGCAGAACAUGAAUGGCUAAUUAGACCUGUCACCUGAAAGCUGAUAGUUUGGAGAAUAAUUUGAAUAUUUUGUUAAAGUCAAUUAGAUGAUUCAAAGGGGAAAGUGCAAACCCUCCUUUUGGUGGUUCCUUCAACAAGCGGCAGCAGAUCAUCCUUCGCAUAAAUCAAUGCCUUGAGAACUCUCAUGUUGUCAAUGUGUGCCAUCCCAAACAAAUGUAAAAGGUUCUGGUAAGUUUCCAGGUGUUUCUUUUCAUCAAUAUGCUUAUAACAGAUCCCCAGUUGAGUUGCUAGGUGACUAUGCAUGUUGCUGAGCUUGUGAGUCAAGCUCGACAACUCCCAAGCCUCUGUAGUUGAUGCUAUGUACUCAUGCCCCAGGCCGAUAAGGCCAGUUAUCUGGGAUGCACAAGCCACGACACUUCUGAUUGUCCAGUAGACAGUAAUUGGUAUAUAGGCCAUUGCAGUGGACAAUGCAGUGACAUCCAUUGAAAUGUACUGAGAUGGAAGCUCCUUUAACUCGACAAUGCACUUGGCAAUAUCAAGCAUGACUUUUAUGAGAUUUUUCACAGCAUCGAAACGGGGUUUAAGCAUGCUCGAAUGCUCGAAAAUUUCAGGCAAUUGUUUCAGGAUUGCCACGGAUUUGGCAAGCUGGUUUGAGGUGUAGUUCUGGGCAACCAGCCAGAACUCUCCAUAAUUCAUCGCAAAAGCUGCCAGGGUUAUCACCAGUUUGGCAUCCCACGAAUAGCUAGAUAGCAUGUUCAAUAUUGACAUUGCAGUUGCAUGUGCAUCCGCACCCCCUGAGCAUUUACAUGCUAUCUCACUAGCAACUCGAUCUAUGACAAACGCCAACGAUUCAAGCGUGGCAAUGAAGUGGCCUUGGUAAGCUUUCUCAUCCAGAGCAUCUGCAGUACGUGCUUGAUGAGUGCCCGGCACGGCAAGGGCAUCAAUAGUUGGGGCGGCUCGAUUAAAUAUAUCCUCAACGAGUUGAAGAAGAGGUUUGGCAUCGAACUCACGUCCAUCAGGAGAAUGCGUUGCCUCAAUUUGCUUGGUCAUUGCAUUGUCAUCAGAAGAUGAGAACAUGAGCCUGUCACCUUUCGUCAGUUUCUGCAUACUGGGUGGGAUCUGCCUGGUCAUGGCCAUUCUUAGGCUUAAAAACAAGAGCAGAAGACAGAAAAGAAGGCUUUGGAAAUAUAGC
Molecule: unclassified non-coding RNA, 2763 nt
Filed under: Hevea brasiliensis (rubber tree)
Lineage: Eukaryota; Viridiplantae; Streptophyta; Magnoliopsida; Malpighiales; Euphorbiaceae
Source: RNAcentral